Eriocheir sinensis (Chinese mitten crab) is the source of this 406-nucleotide long non-coding RNA. RefSeq lists it as uncharacterized. The record is from RefSeq and is a predicted model, not a curated record. NCBI's taxonomy places the organism in Eukaryota, Metazoa, Arthropoda, Malacostraca, Decapoda, Varunidae. The transcript is spliced from 3 exons.
CAAGGGGAAGGAAGAAGCAGCCAUCAGAGGAGGAGGAGGAGGAGGAGGAGGAGGGAGGAAGAAGAGGCAGGUUUCGCUCCUCCACUGGGUCUCCUCAAAGGACCGAGAGAGUGACGUCCGGCAAAUCGCUCAGCAGUGCUUUCGAGGGCUCUCCCAGGCACUGCUCAAGAACCAGGACCGGGCAGGCAAGGUGAACGACCCUUCCAUCUUCCCUGACCUCUGCACGUCGCACCGCAAGAACUUAAUGCACAUGUUGCGGAACCACCAGAAGUGGGCCUCGGAGCUCAGCAGGGACAGCAGGGAGGUGGGGAAGCAAGAGGUUGAAAGCAGGAGGGAAUUUCUGCUGGAUUUCUCGACCCAUUUCCUGGCCUCUCUCUUCCGCCUGAUUUCGCCACGAGACUCCCCG